Molecule: ribosomal RNA, 572 nt
Filed under: Saccharomyces kudriavzevii
Lineage: Eukaryota; Fungi; Ascomycota; Saccharomycetes; Saccharomycetales; Saccharomycetaceae
Description: eukaryotic LSU rRNA
Rfam family: Eukaryotic large subunit ribosomal RNA
Source: RNAcentral
AAACCAACCGGGAUUGCCUUAGUAACGGCGAGUGAAGCGGCAAAAGCUCAAAUUUGAAAUCUGGUACCUUUGGUGCCCGAGUUGUAAUUUGGAGAGGGCAACUUUGGGACCGUUCCUUGUCUAUGUUCCUUGGAACAGGACGUCAUAGAGGGUGAGAAUCCCGUGUGGCGAGGAGUGCGGUUCUAUGUAAAGUGCCUUCGAAGAGUCGAGUUGUUUGGGAAUGCAGCUCUAAGUGGGUGGUAAAUUCCAUCUAAAGCUAAAUAUUGGCGAGAGACCGAUAGCGAACAAGUACAGUGAUGGAAAGAUGAAAAGAACUUUGAAAAGAGAGUGAAAAAGUACGUGAAAUUGUUGAAAGGGAAGGGCAUUUGAUCAGACAUGGUGUUUUGCGCCCUCUGCUCCUUGUGGGUAGGGGAAUCUCGCAUUUCACUGGGCCAGCAUCAGUUUUGGUGGCAGGAUAAAUCCGUAGGAAUGUAACUUGCUUCGGGAAGUAUUAUAGCCUGCGGGAAUACUGCCAGCUGGGACUGAGGACUGCGACGUAAGUCAAGGAUGCUGGCAUAAUGGUUAUAUGCCGC